Molecule: long non-coding RNA, 867 nt
Organism: Homo sapiens (human)
Lineage: Eukaryota; Metazoa; Chordata; Mammalia; Primates; Hominidae
Gene: NQO2-AS1
Product: NQO2 antisense RNA 1
Source: Ensembl
AGAACGUUCCUAACGAAAAUAACUGCAACUCUUGAUUGUACCUCCUGAGGGUCGUUGGGACUUUCCCUCUCAGACAUUUAUUGGUUCAUUCAUUCGUUCAUUUUGCUGUAACUCACAGUGGCCCUCCCCAUCCUAAGGUGCACUGCUGGGAUUGGUCUAUGUGCUGAUGAUGUUCUCCUUGUCUUCAGAGGAAAAAGAAUGCCUGUGUUUCGAAGUUCCUUCUUAGGACGAAACCAGCUGAAGCUGGCGAAAUCCAAGAUGGCGCCUCUGAAGAGCCUCUGGCUUUAUCAUCAUCCUGUUCUCAUGCUAAACAACAUGUCGCCAUGACAACGACUGGAAGAGACCAAGAAGGGACAGAAAAAAAGGGGUUUCUUGAUUCCGGGAAAAAUCUCCGUUCUUUCCCAAGGAAAGCACGAAUAUUCCCCCCCGUGCUCUUAAUGCCCAGCCCCUUCAUUAAAGACACCCUACCUCUGAAACUUCCCAGCUCUCACAAGCUAAGUUGAUUUCAGAUCUUCCAAUUCCAUAGCCAUUGAAUACAGCCUGCACUGCUUGACACACUCCCUUUCGGUUUCGUGCAUUGGCCUCACCACGCAACAGGAAACAACCCUUUUUGGGAUAACCGGGACUCCCGGUAACAUUUCCAUAUAUACAUAUCUUAAUGUAUGCAAGGGCGUCUGGGGGAGAAAGAAGCAGCACAUUUCAUUCUUUGCUUUCUAUAAUACUGGAUUGCUUGAGUUUGUGACACAUGUUAACAUUUGCAACAUUUUUAAACUAAAUUGUAUGUAUUAUAGAACAGUCCUCUGCGCUGAGCUUGGACUUAAAGUGGAAAGGCUUACAUUUGCAGAAUUAAAAAAAGCAUCGAAACAU